AUUGAACGCUGGCGGCAGGCCUAACACAUGCAAGUCGAACGGUAACAGGAAGAAGCUUGCUUCUUUGCUGACGAGUGGCGGAUGGGUGAGUAAUGUCUGGGAAACUGCCUGAUGGAGGGGGAUAACUACUGGAAACGGUAGCUAAUACCGCAUAACGUCGCAAGACCAAAGAGGGGGACCUUCGGGCCUCUUGCCAUCGGAUGUGCCCAGAUGGGAUUAGCUAGUAGGUGGGGUAACGGCUCACCUAGGCGACGAUCCCUAGCUGGUCUGAGAGGAUGACCAGCCACACUGGAACUGAGACACGGUCCAGACUCCUACGGGAGGCAGCAGUGGGGAAUGUUGCACAAUGGGCGCAAGCCUGAUGCAGCCAUGCCGCGUGUAUGAAGAAGGCCUUCGGGUUGUAAAGUACUUUCAGCGGGGAGGAAGGGAGUAAAGUUAAUACCUUUGCUCAUUGACGGUACCCGCAGAAGAAGCACCGGCUAACUCCGUG
RNAcentral lists this ribosomal RNA (490 nucleotides) under uncultured bacterium. Its description in RNAcentral is "partial 16S ribosomal RNA". It matches the Rfam family "Bacterial small subunit ribosomal RNA", at positions 30 to 507 of the family's 1533-position model. The record is from RNAcentral.